CAUUAUUGAAAUAAACCUGAUGGGUUGCUGCUGGCUCUCUAGGGAGCAUGUGCACACUUGUCAUCUUUAUAUCUCCACCUGUGCACCUUUUGUAGAUCUGGAUAUUUUUCUGAAUGCUUGCCAUUCAGGUUUGAGGAUUGACUUUUGUCUUUCCUUACAUUUCCAGGCCUAUGUUUUCUUCAUAUACACCAUUUAUGUUGUAGAAUGUAAUGAAAAGGGCCUUUGUGCCUACAAACCUUAUACAACUUUCAGCAACGGAUCUCUUGGCUCUCGCAUCGAUGAAGAACGCAGCGAAAUGCGAUAAGUAAUGUGAAUUGCAGAAUUCAGUGAAUCAUCGAAUCUUUGAACGCACCUUGCGCUCCUUGGUAUUCCGAGGAGCAUGCCUGUUUGAGUGUCAUUAAUAUAUCAACCUCCUCAGGCUUUGACUUGUCGAGUGUUUGGAUGUGGGGGUCUUUUGCUGGUCUCUUUUGAGGUCGGCUCCCCUAAAAUGCAUUAGCGGAACAAUUUGUUGACCCGUUCAUUGGUGUGAUAACUAUCUACGCUUUUGACGUGAAACAGGUUCAGCUUCUAACAGUCCAUUGACUUGGACAAAUUUUCAUUAAUGUG
Molecule: ribosomal RNA, 606 nt
Filed under: uncultured fungus
Lineage: Eukaryota; Fungi
Description: eukaryotic LSU rRNA
Rfam family: 5.8S ribosomal RNA (bases 244-397)
Source: RNAcentral